UCAUCUGAUCCUCAGAUCCUCAGCAGGACGGAGCACCUGCAAGAGGCCGGCAGGAUGAGAGCCGCAGGGCGGGGAAGUCUUUCACUGGCCCAGAUGUCAGCUUCAGGCCGAGGGAUCUUCAGGGAAAACCUCUUCCCCUGCCUGCCAGCGAGAAGCGUCCCGAAGCUGCACCUGCAACGGUUUAAUAUUGUGUGUUCAGAUGACGGAGGCCACGGGGGAACCGCCUCCUCACCACUCUGACGGAGGCUGACAGUCUCAGCUUUAAUCAGAUCCAGAAAACCAGAGACUCUCGGAGCAACCCAUCAGGGAGCGCAGCCCAGAGGGCUCCUCUGACUCAGAUGCAGUGCGGUGAACAAUAAACUACAAUCUGUCAA
Molecule: non-coding RNA, 374 nt
Organism: Gasterosteus aculeatus aculeatus (three-spined stickleback)
Lineage: Eukaryota; Metazoa; Chordata; Actinopteri; Perciformes; Gasterosteidae
Source: RefSeq, a predicted model, not a curated record